CCUACGGGUGGCUGCAGUGGGGAAUAUUGCACAAUGGGGGGAACCCUGAUGCAGCAAUGCCGCGUGAAGGAUGAAGGUUUUCGGAUUGUAAACUUCUUUUGUACGGGACGAAGACAGUGACGGUACCGUAAGAAUAAGCCACGGCUAACUACGUGCCAGCAGCCGCGGUAAUACGUAGGUGGCAAGCGUUAUCCGGAUUUACUGGGUGUAAAGGGCGAGUAGGCGGGAGUGCAAGUCAGAUGUGAAAACUAUGGGCUCAACCGAUAGAGUGCAUUUGAAACUGUUGGUCUUGAGUAUCGGAGAGGCAGGCGGAAUUCCUAGUGUAGCGGUGAAAUGCGUAGAUAUUAGGAGGAACACCAGUGGCGAAGGCGGCCUGCUGGACGACAACUGACGGUGAGGCGCGAAAGCGUGGGGAGCAAACAGGAUUAGAUACCCCAGUAGUC
Molecule: ribosomal RNA, 443 nt
Filed under: uncultured bacterium
Lineage: Bacteria
Description: partial 16S ribosomal RNA
Rfam family: Bacterial small subunit ribosomal RNA
Source: RNAcentral